AUAGGCUACUUGAGAUUCCCUUCUGUGAACUGCCUUUUCAGUGUCUGUGUCUAUUUUUCUAUUGAUCUUUUUUCUUUUUCUUUUGAUUUACAGAUAUCUUUGAGAAGCCUGGACAUCAAUCUGCUUUAGAAGACUAGAAACUCUGCCUUUAUGUCUUUAAGGGAACAAUAGUCCUUAACUUUGAUACUGUGGCUCUUUAGCUCUUUUUUUCCCUAUAUUUUUUAUAUAGUUUUUUGGUAUUAUUUAGACCUCCUUAACCCCACGGUCAUAAAGGUAUUCUCCCAUCAUUUUUUUCUAUCCAUUAGCUUCAUAGUUUUACUUUUUUACAUUCAGUUAUCUAAUCCAUCUGGAGUUCUCCUUCCCAUAUGGUGUGAGAUAGGGAUCUAACUAUAUUUUUCUCCAUGGGGUGAGCAAAUUUUCCAACAACCCAUGUCAAACAAUCCAUUCUUUCCAAAUUGGUUUGGGGAAGUUUCCAAAUAGACAUGAGUAUGUUCUGAGCUCUCUGGUUUGUUCAUGUGUCAGUACCACAAGGUUUUGUCACUGUGGGUUUUUAGUUAGUCAUCAUGCUUGAAGGGCAAGUUCCCCAUUCCAAAUUCUUCUGUGUUAAGAUUGCUUUGUCUAUCCACGGGCCUUUAUCCUCCCUUAUAAUGUUUAGAGUAAGUUUGUCAAGUUUAUGAGAACUGUGUUGGGUUGAUGAAUAAAUGCAAGGAAAACUGGCA
RNAcentral lists this long non-coding RNA (719 nucleotides) under Homo sapiens (human). RNAcentral's name for it is "HSALNT0359805". Lineage: Eukaryota; Metazoa; Chordata; Mammalia; Primates; Hominidae. The record is from RNAcentral.